RNAcentral lists this non-coding RNA (256 nucleotides) under Priestia veravalensis. RNAcentral's name for it is "Bacillus sp. SGD-V-76 Bacterial small subunit ribosomal RNA". It matches the Rfam family "Bacterial small subunit ribosomal RNA", at positions 47 to 293 of the family's 1533-position model. Lineage: Bacteria; Bacillati; Bacillota; Bacilli; Caryophanales; Bacillaceae. The record is from Rfam by way of RNAcentral.
CCUAAUACAUGCAAGUCGAGCGAACUGAUUAGAAGCUUGCUUCUAUGACGUUAGCGGCGGACGGGUGAGUAACACGUGGGCAACCUGCCUGUAAGACUGGGAUAACUCCGGGAAACCGGAGCUAAUACCGGAUAACAUUUUCUCUUGCAUAAGAGAAAAUUGAAAGAUGGUUUCGNNNNNNNNNNUUUUCUGGAGGGGUAGCGAAGUGGCUAAACGCGGCGGACUGUAAAUCCGCUCCUUCGGGUUCGGCAGUUCG